Molecule: ribosomal RNA, 377 nt
Filed under: uncultured bacterium
Lineage: Bacteria
Description: bacterial SSU rRNA
Rfam family: Bacterial small subunit ribosomal RNA
Source: RNAcentral
UAAUACGUAGGUGGCAAGCGUUGUCCGGAAUUAUUGGGCGUAAAGCGCGCGCAGGCGGUCUCUUAAGUCUGAUGUGAAAGCCCACGGCUCAACCGUGGAGGGUCAUUGGAAACUGGGAGACUUGAGUACAGAAGAGGAGAGUGGAAUUCCAUGUGUAGCGGUGAAAUGCGUAGAUAUAUGGAGGAACACCAGUGGCGAAGGCGACUCUCUGGUCUGUAACUGACGCUGAGGCGCGAAAGCGUGGGGAGCAAACAGGAUUAGAUACCCUGGUAGUCCACGCCGUAAACGAUGAGUGCUAGGUGUUAGGGGCUUCGAUACCCUUAGUGCCGAAGUUAACACAUUAAGCACUCCGCCUGGGGAGUACGACCGCAAGGUUG